GGGGAGGGUGAGGAAAGGCCCUGAGCUCCUGGAGCCUGACACAGACCCCAGGAUGGGCUUUUGUCAGCUCAUUCCAGUGGGGCUUAUCACUGCCGAUUUCCUCGCAGGGGAUGGCAAGGUGAAGGCUGAUUCGGAGGAGGAUGUGGAAGAGCAUCCGCAAGAGCAAAGCUUCUCAGCAAAGAUGCCUCCAAAUGGGAAGGCCUUACAUUUUCACCCAUCAGUUCUGCAUUUUGGAAUGCAGUUGCUGGGGUUACCCAGAGCUAAAAUGCUGCAUGCCUACAACCCUAGUAGAGAUAGAGAUGUUGUAGUCAAUUCAGUGUUUACAGCUACUAGACAGUUUCAUGUGUCUCCUGCUCAUAGCCGGGUGAUUCCAGCGAUGGGAAAGAUGUCUUUCAGAGUACUCUUCCUGCCCACAGAAGAAGGCAGUAUUGAAAGCUCAUUAUUUAUAAAUACCUCAUCUCAUGGAGUACUUUCAUAUCAGGUUUUUGGAACAGGAACUCCGAUGUCUUCUCCAGAAGAACCUAAAGUGCAGCUAGCAAAUGCCUACUUACUGCUUCCACACAUUCAGAACAUCCAGGCAUCACACACACUGACAGAAACAAUGAAUGCCAGUCUAUUACGGGUUCACCUUGAAUGCAGUUUACCUAAUGACACGUACCAGCUAGUUAAGAGUUGCUGUUCUAUGUCCGAUGACCCAAUGCUGCUAGAAAUGAGCUUAACAGUAAGAGUGGAAAAUGCCCAGCAAGAUUUUGUGGAACACAGACAAUACUUACUGGAGAAUCUUUUUAUAGUUUAUGUAGCAAUGGAAAGAACAAAGACCUCAGGUCCUUCAUCAGUAGAUGUGUAUAUCAUGCAUUCUGGAAGCAGCCUUGUGCAUAUACAGGAAAUACGGCAGUUGUCACAAAAGGACACAUCAGCUGUGGAGUUUGAGCCAGUAUUGUUAUCCUCAUCAUCUACUAACUUCACAAAAGUUGCUUCUAUUUCUUGUAAAGCUGCAUCCUGUGACAGUGAAAGUCUUUAUUCUGACAACAAGAACAAUCUUUUGAAAGGCACUACGACACUUAAAGCCUGUCUUUUUUGUCCUGUGAUGGAAGGGUAUUUUGAUGUAGAUCCUUCUGCAGCACUGUUUCAUAUAGAACCACAUCAUAAUACUUCAGGGUAUUGGUCCAUAUGGUUUACAAAUAAUUUUUACUUCAGCAUUGAAUUGAAUGAGGUCUUCGUAGCCAGAGAAACAAAGAACAUAGUAAAGAUCCUGAACUUCGCUGAACCUCUGACACUACCUCCAGGCUGCUGGAAUGUAUUUUCUUUGAAGCUCAGUGUGAAAGACACUGUAACGAAUGUGCUCUCCAGUAUUUGUUUGUCCACAAAUAUGGGAGUGAUGUUUGAAAUACCUCUGCAGAUAUAUUCAACUGUGUCCAAGCAGGGAGACCUUAAUUUUGAAGCAAUUGCCCACUGUGAUAUCCAGUGCUACUUGGGAAAGUCUGAUUCAGCAAAUCUGCUUUGGCAGAAGAGUCUCUCUCUGGACCGUUCUGCCUGGGAUGUGGAUUCUGAGCUUGCAAGUGACCUUUAUGAAAGAUGGCAAAAAAUCAGACGUGGGGAAGCAUGCAGCAGGAAAAGUGUUUUAGGAUCAGCUCGCUUUACUCAGCAGAAGAACUCAGAAGAGGAAUCCUUUGCCUUUUACUUGCCACGAUUGACUGCAGAGCCCAGCUUUACACUCAACUUUAAUGCCACAGCUGUUAAAAGUAGUAUGGUAAAAUAUUUCGUACUAAGAAACCCUUCAUCCUUCCCAGUUACGUUGCAGCUUCUGCCUCUUUCUUACUACCCUGAUCCCCAAGCUUCACUGAGUCUGCUGAACAAAUGGUUCGGCAUAAAUGUGCAAGCUAUUAAUUUCACAACCACCGAAUUCAGGCUAAUGGAUGAAUGUUCUCAUGGGAAUGCACAUCAAGAGGACCUCAUCAGCAAGAAAUGCAGUUCUGAGAUGCUUUGGUUAAGUUUACAGCCACUGGAAACCAGGAAAGUUGGUGUAAUUUUUACACCUCUUGACUACAAAAGAGUAGCUUCCCUUAUUUUAAUCAGAAACAACUUAACCGUUCUGGAUGUGGUCAAUGUAGAAGGCUUUGGAGCCAAGGAAUUGCUUAAAGUAGGGGGAAGACUGCCUGGUGCUGGAGGAUCCCUUCGAUUUAAGGUGCCAGAAGCUACACUAAUGGACUGCAGACGACAACGGAAAGACAGCAAACAAAUUCUAUCCAUUACGAAGAACUUCAAAGUAGAGAAUAUUGGGCCUCUUCCUAUAACAAUUUCAUCAAUGAAAAUCAAUGGUUACAGUUGCCAAGGAUAUGGAUUUGAAGUGUUAGACUGUCAAGAAUUUUUCCUGGCUCAGAACUCAUCACGAGAAAUUAGCAUUGUAUUCACCCCUGACUUUACAUCUUCAUGGGUAAUUCGUGAGCUCACACUGGUGACUGCUGCUGAUUUGGAGUUCCACUUCACGCUCAACGUGACUCUCCCUCACCAUCUGUUGCCUCUGUGUGCAGAUGUGGUGCCAGGACCCAGCUGGGAAGAGUCUUUCUGGAGGCUCACUGUCCUCUUCGUAAGUUUGUCCCUGCUUGGAGUGAUUCUGAUAGCCUUCCAGCAAGCCCAGUAUAUUUUAGCAGAGUUCAUGAAAUCAAGACAGAGGCCCAGUCCUAGUGCUUCAGUGCCACAGCAGAACAGCAGCUCUGUUGACGUAAUCAGCUCUGAUUCCUACAAGGGAAGCUGCAAGACAUUUAUGGAUUCCUAUAGUUCCUCAGAUAAAGGUAAAGGGAAGGGCUUCCUGUCUGUAGGCACUUCUUCCAGCCGAAGCCAGAGUGCGGCCAAGAGAAGUCCUGCGACCUACAGCCACUCUCAGAAGAAACACAAAUGUUCAGUUUACUACAGUAAGCAGAAGCCAAACACAGCAGCUGGCAGUGCCAUUGCAUCUGCUGAUGAGAAGCAGAAUCAGAUUGCAGAGAACCAAAUCUCAGCACCAAAAGAGGACAUUUGCACUGAUGUUGUCAGUGAGAACUGGGUAACUCUGAAAUAUGCAAAUGGCAUAAAUGUUAACAAGAAUUUAACUCUUCCAGAAGACUUUCUGGGUAAAGAAGAAAGUACACUGAAAAAUACAGUUCUCAUUAAAAAUACUUCUUCAGAGUGUGAUCUGAAGGAAGAUCUUCAAACAUGUAUGUUUCCUAAGGAAACUAACCUUAAAACUUCAGAAAAUCUAGCUGAGCUCAAAGAACAGGAGUUCUGUUCUGUGAAGAUGUCCAAGAAGCUACCUGAAAGUCACUUGUCCAGAAAUUCACCUCAACAACAGCCAGAACUGCAAGAAAUUUCUAGGAAAAUUAGUGGGAACAGCCAGCAAGUGCCUCUCAGGAAUGAAACAGAAAAUUGUGAGACUUUAAAAAAGCAGAUCAACUUAAAGCCUUCCACAGAGAAAAAGAUUAAUAAGGGACCUAAGGAAGAGACUCCAUGCUGUGCAAAAGAGGAGAUUGCUUCUUCUGAGCAAGAAGAUGCAUAUAGGAAGAAGAAACCUCAGGAGAAAAAGGAGGGAAAUGUACCAAAUAUGAAUUGGAAUAGAAAUAGAACAUCUAGGAAAAAUAAGAAGAAGAAUGUAAAUAUAUCUACAAGAGUCCCUGAGCAGAGUGAGUUGAAGCAUAUGUGCAGUGAAUUUGAAAGGCCGGAUCUGAGAGCGAAUAUUGGAAUAAGAGCUUGGUGUCCUCAGAGUAACGGGGAAAAUUGUAAAGCAGACCAAAAAGCUGGGAGCUUGUCCAUACAGGGAGAAACAGAAAACUUUUAUCAGCGGUCCAAAAAGAAGUGUUUGGAGAAGUUUUGUUCUGAUUCAAGCUCAGAUUGUGGAAGUUCGUCAGGAAGUGUUCGUGCAAGUCGUGGGAGCUGGGGUAGCUGGAGCAGUACCAGCAGUUCAGAUGGAGAUAAAAAGCCAAUGAUUACUACCAGGCAUUUUCUUCCAUCCAUCAUUCUUUUCUUUAGGAGAGAAUAUUUCACAAAAUGAUUUUCCAUCUGAAACUCCUAUCACUCUAAAUCUGUCUCAUAACAUCUGCAAUACCAGCAGAGACAUGAACAGCAUCCCCCAAUAUCCUGAAACCUUAUGUCCCAAUUUCACUGACAUAGCUGCAGAUCCUGACAAAAAUAAAGGUCUUUACCCAACAGGAGACUUGUGGCCUGCCCAGCCGGUCUGUGUGACAAACAGCUUGAACUACAACCUUGAGAAUAAUAUACCAUGCAUGAUCCAAGAAACCCCCUCUGUCCACAACAGCUUCAUUGACUGGAAUGCAGCUUGUGACAGCCAGUUUUCCAACAUGUAUUGUCCACUAGAGAUGAAUGAAUAUGGUGCUUUCCCAGAAGAAAACAUGAACUACCCCAGUGGCUUCCCAGGUACUGCAGCAGUGCAGAAUACAGCCUUCAUUGACCAGAACUGUCCCUCCACCUGGAAUGCUCCUCCCAACAUGCCACCUGCCUGGGAGCCUGCCAGCUAUGUCAACUCCACACCCUACCUCUCAAGCACCCGAAGCUUGUCUCCAAUGUCUGGACUUUUUGGUUCCAUCUGGGCACCUCAGAGUGAUGUUUAUGAAAGCUGCUGCCCCGUCAGUGCCACGACUCAGCAUUCAACCCAUGUGGAGAACCAGGCAGUUAUGUGUAAGCAGGAAUAUUACCCGAGGUUUAACCCUUUCCGUGCCUACAUGAACUUGGACAUAUGGACUACAGCAGCCAAUCGAAAUGCAAAUUUCCCACUUUCGAGGGACUCGGGUUAUUGUGGAAACGUGUGAAAGGAAUUUGAUUUAAAAAUGUGAAUAAAGAUGCUUGCAAUUUUGAUUACUAGAGUAAGCUGGUUGCUGAAUAGAUUACAAUGUUGGUGAAUAUUUUGGCACUUUUAUAUUGAAAAUAAAUUUUUUUUACUGAA
Molecule: RNA transcript, 4933 nt
Organism: Parus major (Great Tit)
Lineage: Eukaryota; Metazoa; Chordata; Aves; Passeriformes; Paridae
Gene: TMEM131L
Gene name: transmembrane 131 like
Exons: 34
Source: RefSeq, a predicted model, not a curated record